UUUAAAGUUAUUUAAGAUCAUGAGAAGUAUCCAAGACUCAGUAAGCUCUUGUCUGAUCUAAUGGAUGGGAGUCGUAUCUUGAUAUUCUUCCAAACAAAAAAGGACUGCGAUAAGAUCACCCGGCAGCUUAGAAUGGAUGGGUGGCCAGCAUUAUCUAUACACGG
Molecule: long non-coding RNA, 164 nt
Organism: Zea mays
Lineage: Eukaryota; Viridiplantae; Streptophyta; Magnoliopsida; Poales; Poaceae
Exons: 2
Source: RefSeq, a predicted model, not a curated record